RNAcentral lists this unclassified non-coding RNA (299 nucleotides) under Bombus terrestris (buff-tailed bumblebee). RNAcentral describes it as "misc RNA ENSBTSG00005022019.1". The record is from RNAcentral. Lineage: Eukaryota; Metazoa; Arthropoda; Insecta; Hymenoptera; Apidae.
UGCGCUACCAUAAUCAAUUUUCCUCUCAGCGUUGAGUGACAAUUUGAGUGGAGUGCGCGCGUGCAUUCGUUACACUGUAAACAAUUUAACCGCGACUCAUCUGAAAUUUCGUCCCUACCAGUGAAAUGUUCGGCGUCUCUUCUGCGGACAGUCGAAAAUUCAUCGUCACGUACGUUGAUUGUUCAGAAGACGCACGAAACGGGUAGAAACUGGAUGCAAACACCGGUAAGAUAGCUGACACUCAAUCAGAAGACUGUACCAUUGAUACCAUCGACGAGCUACCAUCCACCAUGAAUUCC